Microcebus murinus (gray mouse lemur) is the source of this 2367-nucleotide non-coding RNA. Lineage: Eukaryota; Metazoa; Chordata; Mammalia; Primates; Cheirogaleidae. The record is from RefSeq and is a predicted model, not a curated record.
UUUUUUUUGAGAAAGGAAAGGGAGUCUCUUUGUUAUAGUCUCUUCAUUUUUAUAACAUGAUGAGGAAUAUCUAUCUCAAACCCACAAUCAACAUCAGCCUUCAUGGUAAAACUCUACGGGCUUUCCCUGAAGACUGGGAGCAAGACGACAAUGGCACGAUUAUCACUCCCAUUUUACAGAGGAGGAAAGGGAGGCUUACAGAGCCUUCCGUAACUUGCCCAAGGAACUGACAAGUGGCGAGUCCGAGGUUUUAUGGGUUCUACGUGACCACUGACUCUGUUAUCCAAUGCGUGGAAACACCAAGGGCUCCCAGUAAGUGGUAAUAACCGUUCAGCACAGACAAGACCAUGUCCUCAUCUUCAUUUGAUCAACACUUCCCCACCAGCGGUCACUGUGGCUGAGUGGCCCAGAGCUUUAGGGCACACGAGAGGAUCUUGUGAGCUGUCAGUCCUCUAAACCUGGCGUGCCUGUCCCACUCAGAGCGCAUCUCAGCCGGGACCAGCACUCAGGAGCCACGUGCUGCUUGUGGCUGCCAUGCCAGACCGUGUGGCUCUGGGGGCAGAGGCCACGGGGGAGAAAGGAGAGGGAAGAGAGGAUGACAGAGGGCGCAAGGAAGGCCAGAGCCGUGCCCUGUCCACCGCUGGACAACAAAGGCCGAUCUUCACAGCAUCCCCACUUUGAGGCAUUUCAUGAAGCGACAGGCCUGGCAGGACUUGCGCCUCCGCUUGGUGAUCUCGCACUCGUUGGUGGCUGGGCAGCUGUACUCGAUGUUCCCUGCAACCAGACACAGAGAGCGUUGCCAGGCGCCACCACCCACGGCCCGGUGAAAGGCUGGAUGGGGAUUAAUAAGCCGGACCCGCAGCUCCCCCACCCUGAGGAUCCCCCAGGGAAGGGUUCUCAAAGUAGGUGCUCCGAGGCGCUUAUCAGCAUGCUUCGCGUCAAACUCUCUUCCACGCGGAAGUCAGGGUGGGCCAGGCGGCCGCUCAGAGAAACACUCUCCAGAGAAUGGCCCCCCACCGUUUUGAAGCCACCGCUUAGAUGGGAUGUCAAAACUCAUGAGCCAGCAUUUUAGCCCAGGAGAAGAACGCCCCUGUACGGACCAGACAUCAGCACAGACCACCACCACUCUGGCCUCCAGCCCGGGCCCCUGACACACGGAAAGAGCCUCUUGGAACUCCGAGCCCACGGGCAUCAGGCCUCGGUUCUGCAUCCACGGGGAGGUGCAGGCCACCCAGCUUUGCUGACCUGGAGGACAUCACUUUCCUCUCAACCACGUUGAAAUGUCCUCCUCUGCAAAACAGCGUGCUAUCUACACAGCGAAGGAUUAAGCAAGGCCACCUAUGGAACAUGGCUUUAGCAUCUGUAAAGCUCUAUUCGACGCGAGGUGGUCAUUUUAUAAGCAUAGUUCAUACGGCAGAGGGAAUGUGGGAUUAAUUUUCCAGGUCACUCCUUAAACGGGUUAUAAUGAUGGCUACCGUGAACCUGACCUCACGCUCCUGGGAGCUGUCGGGGAGCCCACGAGGGCAGGACUCUAGCAGCACAGAGGUGAGAGGAACGCGGCCAGGGACUCGUCUACUCAGUCCUUCCCAGGGGCAAUCCAGGAAGAAGGUACUAAUGCUAACCCCAUUUUACAGACAUCGACCUCCCGAGGGUACAGGGAGAAGUUUGAGGCCUACCUGUCCUCUGAAUCCUGCACAAGACACCCCAUUCCCGUUAUAGCCAUGACAGCUGAGAUGUAUUGUGCACCUCCUGUAUGCACAACCUGCAGCAGCUCCCUCGGUCCUCACAACGACCCUCGGAGGUAGGCACGUCACUGGCCCAUUUCACAGACUAAGAAACUGAGACUUGGGGAGCAGAAUCGAGUUACCCAAUGCCACACAGAGCCACGCUUGCAUCUCACAAGGAGCUUGGGGAGAUUGGAAGUGCCGCCCCCCAAGGAAGGCCCCUGCCGCUAACCCAGCAGUGGAGGGAGUCUGGUGGCCAUCAGGGGAGGACAGCGUCCUUGGGCUUCCCUGUGCUGCAGCCUGCCCAUGGGGAUUUUCUGGGGACGGGUAUGAACUAUGCCCCACCACUAACAGAGCGCUUCCCAGUAGCGAGAUCACUCAACAGGCUUCAUUGUCCCGAGCGCCCACGACAGCGCAUGAGCGUUCUUGUCCCCAGUUUAACUGGCGAGGAAAUGGAUUUCCCCAGAGCACCUUGGAGAUCUGCAGGGAGGGAAGGCUAUUCUCUCUCUCAAGUCCACGGUGCCACCUUCCCUCUGUCCCACCUCCUACAGCGAGGGGCUGGGGAUGGGAGGGGGUGGAGAAUGGGAGGUGAUGAGAAGGGGAAGGGGUGAAGAUUCUGGGCCCUCCCCCUCUUGUAUCUAAC